This 301-nucleotide ribosomal RNA is filed under the name uncultured bacterium. Its description in RNAcentral is "partial 16S ribosomal RNA". It matches the Rfam family "Bacterial small subunit ribosomal RNA", at positions 509 to 807 of the family's 1533-position model. The record is from RNAcentral.
CAGUCGCCACGGGAAUACGUAGGUGGCAAGCGUUGUCCGGAAUUAUUGGGCGUAAAGGGCUCGCAGGCGGUUUCUUAAGUCUGAUGUGAAAGCCCCCGGCUCAACCGGGGAGGGUCAUUGGAAACUGGGAAGCUUGAGUGCAGAAGAGGAGAGUGGAAUUCCACGUGUAGCGGUGAAAUGCGUAGAGAUGUGGAGGAACACCAGUGGCGAAGGCGACUCUCUGGUCUGUAACUGACGCUGAGGAGCGAAAGCGUGGGGAGCGAACAGGAUUAGAUACCCGUGUAGUCCCUGUCUCUUAUAC